This is a long non-coding RNA of Microtus oregoni (creeping vole), 1198 nucleotides long. RefSeq lists it as uncharacterized. The transcript is spliced from 7 exons. The record is from RefSeq and is a predicted model, not a curated record. Lineage: Eukaryota; Metazoa; Chordata; Mammalia; Rodentia; Cricetidae.
CGGGUGUUGCUCCCCUAGAAACAGAUAUGCAGUCCAUUGUGGGCCAGCAAGUGAGUGCUGAGAACCCAGUCCGGGUCUUCUGUAAGAGCAGCAAGUCCUCUUAACCAUGGGGCCAUCUCUGCAGUCCAAGUCAUCAAAUAUUAAACGUUAUAUAUUUGGGAAUGUGAUGGUCAGAUGACAAUUAACAUAUGAAGACAUUGGGAAAUACUUUUCCAAGUCUCUGUCCUGUUUUCCAUGGCCACCAGCAGUGGGUACGAGAGUUUCAUCCUCCACAACCUGCCAGGACAUUCAAGAAGCCUCAGCCCAACUGAUAGAGCCAAAAUUACCUGCAGAUAUGAUGCAACUAUUCCUAAAAACAUCUCAAAUAUUUUGAAGUUGCAAGUUAAUUAUGAGAAAAGAAACAAAUGUCCAACACCCAGUUUGGGGGAAAUUUUCUAAGGCAGCCACAGGUCUAAUGUUUGCCCAAAUGGAAUCUUUGGAAUCAUAGAGAUACUCCUUCACCUCCCAGCCAGCUCCAUCAGGUCUCUUCUAUGAUAAGAACAACAGGAAGGCAGAGAGAACACGCAGAAGGUUGACAAGAAGCUGACAUGAGCCCUUGUUUCCAUAGAACAGGGGAGAAAACAGUGAACUCUCCAUGCAAAACCAGCUCCUGGAGAAGAACCAAGUGUGGUGUGGUCUUGUCAGCCUGUUACCUGAGCAAGAGUGACAAGAUCAUGUGGGACUCACCAGGGUCUGGGUCAUUGUUCUGCACACACAACCACAGAGAGUACAACAGCAGCCUCCAGUCCCUUGUUGCUGACCUUUGAGGAAGCUGGGCAUGUAAGGUAGGUUUGCUCUCAGGAGACUUGCUCUCGGGAACAGGAUGUCCUUGCCAGAGGCUGGACUCGAGGAUGCUGCAGCACAUAGAUCUGCCCAGCAUCUGUGGCCCUGUCCGAAGCUCUUCAAAACUGUGGUGGGAGCACAUGUGGGGAUUUUUAAAAGUGGUCCCUAGACACUGGUAUGGCUCCCCUGGCAGUGCAGGACAUUCCCAGCUAUAUUCUUGAUUUUUCUGGUAGCUGUUCAAUGAGAAUGCUAUACCAUGAAAAGAAAUCACUGGUGAAUUUAAAAAGCCACAGUAUGGGGACUGGCGACAUAGCUCUCGAGGCAGAAUGAUUGCCUAGAAUGGAAAUUGCUCUGUGUUCUUUGACCCUCUGGGCAU